Molecule: ribosomal RNA, 525 nt
Filed under: Triticum aestivum (bread wheat)
Lineage: Eukaryota; Viridiplantae; Streptophyta; Magnoliopsida; Poales; Poaceae
Description: partial small subunit ribosomal RNA
Source: RNAcentral
AUGCCGGCACGCCUGCUCAUCGAUCUCUGCUCCAUGGAUCACACCCCCAAGGUCGCUUGGAACGUGCGCGGCCUCAACGCGCGCGCUCGCCGCACCGCCAUUCGGUCGCUUGUUGUAACCACCAAUGCAUCGAUCGCCUGCUUCCAAGAAACUAAGAUGCAGUUAGUUUGCUCGUCGGUUGUCCUUGAGACUCUUGGCUCGGAUUUUGACGACUAUGUGUACUUGCCCGCGGACGGGACCCGUGGCGGCAUCCUGUUGGCAUGGAAGAGUAGAGAGGUGGCCAUCACCGAUCCUCUUUUCACUACCAACGCCUUGUCUGCUAAGGUCUCCACCGCGUCUGGAUUCGGCACUCCAUGGUGGCUCACCGUUGUCUACGGGCCCCAACUUGACGACGACAAAGUUGCCUUCAUGCAAGAGCUCCGCGACAUUCGCGACGAGUGCCCCGGACCGUGGAUGUUGUGCGGGGACUUCAACCUCAUAUAUCGCGACGAGGACAAAACAACGGGAAUGUCAACCGCCGCAUGA